This 409-nucleotide transfer-messenger RNA is filed under the name Flavonifractor sp. An4. It matches the Rfam family "transfer-messenger RNA". Rfam says of the family: Bacterial tmRNA, also known as 10Sa RNA or SsrA, is named for its dual tRNA and mRNA-like properties. Its role is to liberate the mRNA from a stalled ribosome. The record is from RNAcentral. Lineage: Bacteria; Bacillati; Bacillota; Clostridia; Eubacteriales; Oscillospiraceae.
GGGGUCGCAAUGGGUUCGACGGGGUUUUGAGAAUGUGAUGUUCGCAGGUAGAAGACCGCCUCAAGGCUUAACCAAAAUAAAAUGACGACACUACUGUUGUAAUGAUCCAUCCCGCACUGGCUGCUUGUGUAGCAGAGGGGAUUGCCGCCUAAUUGACGGCUGGAACCAAAACAAUGCACUUGUACGGAAGGGGCAUUUGAGGUUAAAGAAUCCGUACAUAAACAGUUUCCUUGUUCUGUAACAAAAUAAGGUGGUGGAGGUGUGCCAAGCCGGUACGCCCUAAGUGUAGAUUUGACAGUAUCGCAAGCAACUUUCCGCAAGGAGAAAGCUGAAACACUGUCUAUUGCGUAAGAAGACAUCUCAUAUGUAGGAAUUUCGGACAGGGGUUCGAUUCCCCUCGACUCCACCA